CUGCUCAAUGAAUUUUUUUUAAAUAGCCGCAAUAUAAUGAUUGUGCAAAGGUAGCAUAAUAAAUUGAUUUUUUAUUGAAAUCUAGAAUGAAUGAUUUAAUGAGAUAAUUUCUGUCUUAAUUUAAUUAGAAUUUGAAUUUUUUUUUUUUGUAAAAAAACAAAAAUAUUAUUAAAAGACGAUAAGACCCUAUAGAAUUUAAUAAAUUAUUUAUAAAAAAUUAAUUUAUUUAUUUAUUUAUAAAAAAUUUUAUUUAAUUGGGGAAAUUUAAAAAUUUAUUGAAUUUUUUAAUUAAUGUUUUCAUUAAUAUAUGAAUUUAUUUUUUAAUAUUAUUUAAAUUAAAUAAAUUACCUUAGGGAUAACAGCGUAAUAUUAUUUAGAUAGAUCAUAUUGAUAAGUAAGAUUGCGACCUCGAUGUUGAAUUAAGAUAAAUUUUUGUUGAAGAAAAUAAAAUAUUUAGUCUGUUCGACU
This 468-nucleotide ribosomal RNA is filed under the name Aclista sp. M227. RNAcentral describes it as "partial 16S ribosomal RNA". Lineage: Eukaryota; Metazoa; Arthropoda; Insecta; Hymenoptera; Diapriidae. The record is from RNAcentral.